RNAcentral lists this ribosomal RNA (241 nucleotides) under uncultured bacterium. Its description in RNAcentral is "partial 16S ribosomal RNA". It matches the Rfam family "Bacterial small subunit ribosomal RNA", at positions 80 to 339 of the family's 1533-position model. The record is from RNAcentral.
UCGGGGUGGGGACAGCGGCGGACGGGUGAGUAACGCGUGGGAAUUUACCCUGGAGUGGGGGAUAACAGCUGGAAACGGCUGCUAAUACCGCAUACGCCCUUCGGGGGAAAGAUUUAUCGCUAUUUGAGGGUCCUGCGUUCGAUUAGCUUGUUGGCGGGGUAACGGCCCACCAAGGCGACGAUCGAUAGCUGGUCUGAGAGGAUGAUCAGCCACACUGGGACUGAGACACGGCCCAGACUCC